RNAcentral lists this ribosomal RNA (305 nucleotides) under uncultured bacterium. Its description in RNAcentral is "bacterial SSU rRNA". It matches the Rfam family "Bacterial small subunit ribosomal RNA", at positions 337 to 639 of the family's 1533-position model. The record is from RNAcentral.
ACCUACGGGGGGCAGCAGUGAGGAAUAUUGGUCAAUGGGCGAGAGCCUGAACCAGCCAAGUCGCGUGAGGGAUGACUGCCCUAUGGGUUGUAAACCUCUUUUGUAUGGGGGGAAUAAGCUUUACGAGUAGAGUGAUGACAGUACCAUACGAAUAAGCAUCGGCUAACUCCGUGCCAGCAGCCGCGGUAAUACGGAGGGCGCGAGCGUUAAUCGGAAUUACUGGGCGUAAAGCGCGCGUAGGCUGUUGUGUAAGUUGGGGGUGAAAUCCCACGGCCCAACCGUGGAACAGCCCUUGAUACUGCGCG